This 503-nucleotide ribosomal RNA is filed under the name uncultured bacterium. Its description in RNAcentral is "partial 16S ribosomal RNA". It matches the Rfam family "Bacterial small subunit ribosomal RNA", at positions 30 to 523 of the family's 1533-position model. The record is from RNAcentral.
AUUGAACGCUGGCGGCAGGCUUAACACAUGCAAGUCGAGCGGGGUGAUGGUGCUUGCACUAUCACUUAGCGGCGGACGGGUGAGUAAUGCUUAGGAAUCUGCCUAUUAGUGGGGGACAACAUCUCGAAAGGGAUGCUAAUACCGCAUACGUCCUACGGGAGAAAGCAGGGGAUCACUUGUGACCUUGCGCUAAUAGAUGAGCCUAAGUCGGAUUAGCUAGUUGGUGGGGUAAAGGCCUACCAAGGCGACGAUCUGUAGCGGGUCUGAGAGGAUGAUCCGCGACACUGGGACUGGGACACGGCCCAGACUCCUACGGGAGGCAGCAGUGGGGAAGAUUGGACAAUGGGGGGAACCCUGAUCCAGCCAUGCCGCGUGUGUGAAGAAGGCCUUAUGGUUGUAAAGCACUUUAAGCGAGGAGGAGGCUCUUUUGGUUAAUACCCAAGAUGAGUGGACGUUACUCGCAGAAUAAGCACCGGCUAACUCUGUGCCAGCCGCCGCCGUAA